RNAcentral lists this unclassified non-coding RNA (362 nucleotides) under Hevea brasiliensis (rubber tree). Lineage: Eukaryota; Viridiplantae; Streptophyta; Magnoliopsida; Malpighiales; Euphorbiaceae. The record is from RNAcentral.
GCCAAAUCAGUUGUAGUUGCUUCAUUAGAAUCAGUCCCUUCGACCAUCUAAAUAACCAAAUCAGUUGCUUGCUCUGGUUAUUUCCCCAUUGACGAUGAAACUAUGCCGCGGUCAUUUUGAUAUGUGCGUAUUUUCCAAUAGACCCAAAAAGAUUAUUUCCUCCAUUCAUGAUGGAAUCGAUUUUCUAUUAGUAAUCACCUAGAUGGAUUUGAAUUAUCAGAGCAAUUGACUACCUCCUGCUGUAAUGUUAUCGACACAGCACUUAAUCCUCCCCUUCUAGUUAUCUUCUGCUGCAAUGGUUUCAAAUUUGGAAGGGCCAGUUCUCCUCGAAAUAGUCCAUCAAUCCCCCUUCUUCUGCUUGG